GGAGUCUAGCAUGUGCGCGAGUCAUUGGGACUCUAGCGAAACCUAAAGGCGAAAUGAAAGUGAAGGUUCGUCUUCAGUUGCGAACCGAGGGAGGAUGGGUAGUAGCGCUAUAUUCGCGCUCGCCCCGCACUCCCGGGGCGUUUCGUUCUCAUUGCGAGAUGAGGCGCACCCAGAGCGUACACGCUGGGACCCGAAAGAUGGUGAACUAUGCCUGGUCAGGACGAAGUCAGGGGAAACCCUGAUGGAGGUCCGUAGCGAUUCUGACGUGCAAAUCGAUCGUCGGAACUGGGUAUAGGGGCGAAAGACUAAUCGAACCAUCUAGUAGCUGGUUCCCUCCGAAGUUUCCCUCAGGAUAGCUGGCGCUCGAUUAAAACGAGUGUCAUCCGGUAAAGCGAAUGAUUAGAGGCAUUGGGGUCGAAACGGCCUCAACCUAUUCUCAAACUUUAAAUGGGUGAGAACUCCGGCUUGCUCGAAAAUUAUUAUUUUAUAAUAUUGAAGCCGCGAGAAAUUAUAAUUAUUACAUAUAUAUAACAAGGAUCAGAGUGCCAAGUGGGCCACUUUUGGUAAGCAGAACUGGCGCUGUGGGAUGAACCAAACGCAGAGUUAAAGCGCCAAAAUCGACGCUCAUACGAUACCAUGAAAGGCGUUGGUAACUUAAGACAGCAGGACGGUGGCCAUGGAA
RNAcentral lists this ribosomal RNA (682 nucleotides) under Meliboeus fulgidicollis. Its description in RNAcentral is "eukaryotic LSU rRNA". It matches the Rfam family "Eukaryotic large subunit ribosomal RNA", at positions 670 to 1259 of the family's 3401-position model. Lineage: Eukaryota; Metazoa; Arthropoda; Insecta; Coleoptera; Buprestidae. The record is from RNAcentral.